CCCAUUGUUGUAUACCAUGUUUAGAAGUUCUGACCAGUAACCCAUCCAUGAUACUAAAUUGGACUUUAUAUCUCAUCAAGAUUCGUAAAUCUUCAUUAUCUUUGCAAUCCUCAUCUGUGAUGGGAUUGGCAAUAGGGUCUUCUAUAUGUCUAUAGAAUAUGCCUAUGACGGGAUCAUUCUUUUGACUAGUAAUCAGGUCCUGAUUAGGAGCUUCUUGACUCCAUUGCACGACAUUUAAGUCGGCAUUAUCUCUAGCCUGUCGUCUAGUUAUGGCUUCAACAUGAAUUGAACCCAUAAGAUCAUCAAUGUUUAGGGUUUCACCAUUGAUGGCAGCUUGUUUUGCCAGUGAAUCGGCUAAGUCAUUACCAUCCUUGUCAAUACCUUCUAUUUUAGAAUGGCC
Pelobates cultripes (western spadefoot toad) is the source of this 400-nucleotide non-coding RNA. The record is from the annotation of a GenBank genome assembly. Lineage: Eukaryota; Metazoa; Chordata; Amphibia; Anura; Pelobatidae.